GGAUGGGUAGGGGAGCGUCGUGUGCCGGGUGAAGCAGCCGCGGAAGCGAGUUGUGGACGGUUCACGAGUGAGAAUGCAGGCAUGAGUAGCGAUACACACGUGAGAAACGUGUGCGCCGAUUGACUAAGGGUUCCUGGGUCAAGCUGAUCUGCCCAGGGUAAGUCGGGACCUAAGGCGAGGCCGACAGGCGUAGUCGAUGGACAACCGGUUGAUAUUCCGGUACCCGCUUUGAAACGCCCAAUACUGAAUCAGGCGAUGCUAAGUCCGUGAAGCCGGCCCGAUCUCUUCGGAGUUGAGGGUAGUGGUGGAGCCGACGAACCAGACUUGUACUAGGUAAGCGAUGGGGUGACGCAGGAAGGUAGUCCAGCCCGGGCGGUGGUAGUCCCGGGGUAAGGGUGUAGGGCGUGUGAUAGGCAAAUCCGUCACACAUUAAGUCUGAGACCUGAUGCCGAGCCGAUUGUGGUGAAGUGGAUGAUCCUAUGCUGUCGAGAAAAGCCUCUAGCGAGUUUCAUGGCGGCCCGUACCCUAAACCGACUCAGGUGGUCAGGUAGAGAAUACCGAGGCGUUCGGGUGAACUAUGGUUAAGGAACUCGGCAAAAUGCCCCCGUAACUUCGGGAGAAGGGGGGCCAUCACUGGUGAUUGGAUUUACUCCAUGAGCUGGGGGUGGCCGCAGAGACCAGCGAGAAGCGACUGUUUACUAAAAACACAGGUCCGUGCGAAGCCGUAAGGCGAUGUAUACGGACUGACGCCUGCCCGGUGCUGGAACGUUAAGGGGACCGGUUAGCUGACUUUCGGGUCGGCGAAGCUGAGAACUUAAGCGCCAGUAAACGGCGGUGGUAACUAUAACCAUCCUAAGGUAGCGAAAUUCCUUGUCGGGUAAGUUCCGACCUGCACGAAUGGCGUAACGACUUCUCGACUGUCUCAACCAUAGGCCCGGUGAAAUUGCACUACGAGUAAAGAUGCUCGUUUCGCGCAGCAGGACGGAAAGACCCCGGGACCUUUACUACAGUUUGAUAUUGGUGUUCGGUUCGGCUUGUGUAGGAUAGGUGGGAGACUUUGAAGCAGCCACGCCAGUGGUUGUGGAGUCGCCGUUGAAAUACCACUCUGGUCGUGCUGGAUGUCUAACCUGGGUCCGUGAUCCGGAUCAGGGACAGUGUCUGAUGGGUAGUUUAACUGGGGCGGUUGCCUCCUAAAGAGUAACGGAGGCGCCCAAAGGUUCCCUCAGCCUGGUUGGCAAUCAGGUGUUGAGUGUAAGUGCACAAGGGAGCUUGACUGUGAGACCGACGGGUCGAGCAGGGACGAAAGUCGGGACUAGUGAUCCGGCAGUGGCUUGUGGAAGCGCUGUCGCUCAACGGAUAAAAGGUACCCCGGGGAUAACAGGCUGAUCUUCCCCAAGAGUCCAUAUCGACGGGAUGGUUUGGCACCUCGAUGUCGGCUCGUCGCAUCCUGGGGCUGGAGUCGGUCCCAAGGGUUGGGCUGUUCGCCCAUUAAAGCGGUACGCGAGCUGGGUUUAGAACGUCGUGAGACAGUUCGGUCCCUAUCCGCUGCGCGCGUAGGAAUAUUGAGAAGGGCUGUCCCUAGUACGAGAGGACCGGGACGGACGAACCUCUGGUGUGCCAGUUGUCCUGCCAAGGGCAUGGCUGGUUGGCUACGUUCGGAAAGGAUAACCGCUGAAAGCAUCUAAGCGGGAAGCCUGCUUCGAGAUGAGUGUUCCCACCCC
Molecule: ribosomal RNA, 1721 nt
Filed under: Streptomyces sp. 136MFCol5.1
Lineage: Bacteria; Bacillati; Actinomycetota; Actinomycetes; Kitasatosporales; Streptomycetaceae
Description: Bacterial large subunit ribosomal RNA
Rfam family: Bacterial large subunit ribosomal RNA
Source: Rfam by way of RNAcentral